AUGAAACUGGACUCACCUGGAAGCAGCAGCGCCGACGCUCUUCAAGGGCCCGAUGGAAACGCAGAAAAAUUCAUCUGGGAAAUUCAUUACAGCCUGAAGUUCAGGACAUUUCUUUGCAGAGUCUGCUCUGCUUCUGAAACAGAUGACGCCAGCACCACGUCGGGCUACAGCACGAGCGUGUGAGAGGGGCUCUGUUUCUGUCUUUGGUUAUCUAGCUGUAUGAGUGUUAAAUACCUGUCAUAAAGCUAGAUAACCGAAAGUAGAAAUGACUUCCGUAACGUUGUGUUCCUUCCCGAAAGAGCAGGGACUUUGAUUUGACGGAUUUCGACUUUUCACCUCAAAAAGGCUUCCGACUAAUAGCAUUGAAUGAUUUGGGGUUCCUGAAAAGAGGGUAGAACCAUCAUUAAAAGAAAACGGGGGGGUGGGGGACACCCCCCUCCUCACCCUUUUUACCCAAGAGCAUCUAAUGCCAUCUGUACUGCCAACGGGGGGGACACUUUGCCUGUGCCAGGAGACGAACAAAGACUCCUUGGAGUAUGGGCGCACUCAGAGGAGCCAUCUUGAGAGAUGUUGCUGCGACACCUAAAAUGGCUGGGCUGGCAUACGAGGAUGUGAGAGGAUCUGCAAGCCCUUCUGCACUCUGUAGGAACCUGCUUUGGCACGAGGAGAUUGUGGACCAAAUGCAACGAAAUGUUGUCGUCAGAGGCCCUCACCAGAGCAUGAGGAUUAUCAGCCACCUAAACACUGCAAAAGAGUGUUAUGUUAAAGGACUGUAGGAGCAAAAGAGAUAUAUAAGCCUGCAUGUAAGCCUGAAAUGUAAUUUAUUUUAUUUAUUUUGUGUGUUCUGUAUUAAUGAUCAAGUGUGACAUGUUAGACAUGUUUAAAUCGAAUCUAUUAUUUUAAAAACUGUGCAAAUAAAAAAGCCUUAAAUGUUCCUACUUACAUCUCACUCAGUACAUUAUGUGCAUUUUCAUAGCUAAUACAUGUUUUAAUUAAUUCAGUUAUUGAUUCAUUGAUCUCAUGUCUAAAUUGAAAUAGUAAUUAAUAGGAUAUAAAUGCAUUACUGAUGAAGUUUAAUGUUUUAAGUUUACUGCUGUCAAUGACAUUUCUUUGAAAUAAAAAUAAUGAAAAUA
Molecule: long non-coding RNA, 1133 nt
Organism: Siniperca chuatsi (mandarin fish)
Lineage: Eukaryota; Metazoa; Chordata; Actinopteri; Centrarchiformes; Sinipercidae
Exons: 4
Source: RefSeq, a predicted model, not a curated record